RNAcentral lists this ribosomal RNA (795 nucleotides) under Bacteroidetes bacterium SCGC AAA160-N18. RNAcentral describes it as "bacterial SSU rRNA". It matches the Rfam family "Bacterial small subunit ribosomal RNA", at positions 75 to 863 of the family's 1533-position model. Lineage: Bacteria; Pseudomonadati; Bacteroidota. The record is from RNAcentral.
AUUGCUUGCAAUCCGCUGACGACCGGCGCACGGGUGCGUAACGCGUAUGCAACCUACCUUCUACAGGGGGAUAGUCAAUAGAAAUGUUGAAUAAUACCCCAUACGAUCUUUGAAUAGCAUUAUUUAAAGAAGAAAGUUCCGGCGGUAGAAGAUGGGCAUGCGUCCUAUUAGUUAGUUGGAGAGGUAACGGCUCCCCAAGACAUCGAUAGGUAGGGGUCCUGAGAGGGAGACCCCCCACACUGGUACUGAGACACGGACCAGACUCCUACGGGAGGCAGCAGUGAGGAAUAUUGGACAAUGGAGGCAACUCUGAUCCAGCCAUGCCGCGUGCAGGAAGACUGCCCUAUGGGUUGUAAACUGCUUUUAUACAGGAAGAAAUGUACCUACGUGUAGGUAUUUGACGGUACUGUACGAAUAAGGAUCGGCUAACUCCGUGCCAGCAGCCGCGGUAAUACGGAGGAUCCAAGCGUUAUCCGGAAUCAUUGGGUUUAAAGGGUCCGUAGGCGGUCUUUUAAGUCAGAGGUGAAAUCCUACAGCUCAACUGUAGAAUUGCCUUUGAUACUGAAGGACUUGAGUUAUUGUGAAGUAGUUAGAAUGUGUGGUGUAGCGGUGAAAUGCAUAGAGAUCACACAGAAUACCGAUUGCGAAGGCAGAUUACUAACAAUAUACUGACGCUGAGGGACGAAAGCGUGGGUAGCGAACAGGAUUAGAUACCCUGGUAGUCCACGCCGUAAACGAUGGAUACUAGCUGUUCGACCAACAUUGGUUGGUUGAGUGGCUAAGCGAAAGUGAUAA